This 238-nucleotide ribosomal RNA is filed under the name uncultured bacterium. Its description in RNAcentral is "partial 16S ribosomal RNA". It matches the Rfam family "Bacterial small subunit ribosomal RNA", at positions 96 to 334 of the family's 1533-position model. The record is from RNAcentral.
CGGCGGACGGGUGAGUAACGCGUGGGUGACCUGCCCCAUACCGGGGGAUAACAGCUGGAAACGGCUGCUAAUACCGCAUAAGCGCACAGAGCUGCAUGGCUCGGUGUGAAAAACUCCGGUGGUAUGGGAUGGGCCCGCGUCUGAUUAGGCAGUUGGCGGGGUAACGGCCCGCCAAACCGACGAUCAGUAGCCGGCCUGAGAGGGCGACCGGCCACAUUGGGACUGAGACACGGCCCAA